CCUACGGGGGGCUGCAGUGGGGAAUAUUGCACAAUGGGCGCAAGCCUGAUGCAGCCAUGCCGCGUGUGUGAAGAAGGCCUUCGGGUUGUAAAGCACUUUCAGCGGGGAGGAAGGCGGUGAGGUUAAUAACCUCAUCGAUUGACGUUACCCGCAGAAGAAGCACCGGCUAACUCCGUGCCAGCAGCCGCGGUAAUACGGAGGGUGCAAGCGUUAAUCGGAAUUACUGGGCGUAAAGCGCACGCAGGCGGUCUGUCAAGUCGGAUGUGAAAUCCCCGGGCUCAACCUGGGAACUGCAUUCGAAACGGGCAGGCUAGAGUCGUGUAGAGGGGGGUAGAAUUCCAGGUGUAGCGGUGAAAUGCGUAGAGAUCUGGAGGAAUACCGGUGGCGAAGGCGGCCCCCUGGACAAAGACUGACGCUCAGGUGCGAAAGCGUGGGGAGCAAACAGGAUUAGAUACCCGAGUAGUC
RNAcentral lists this ribosomal RNA (465 nucleotides) under uncultured Klebsiella sp. RNAcentral's name for it is "bacterial SSU rRNA". It matches the Rfam family "Bacterial small subunit ribosomal RNA", at positions 338 to 795 of the family's 1533-position model. The record is from RNAcentral. Lineage: Bacteria; Pseudomonadati; Pseudomonadota; Gammaproteobacteria; Enterobacterales; Enterobacteriaceae.